UAUAUUAACAGUGCCUGCCUAUUACUCUGGUUUAGGGCCCGAAAGGAGCACCAGGGAAGCGUGGGAAACCUGGAGAUCCAGGAUUACCUGGACUUCCAGGAGUGGAUGGCUUAACAGGAGCUGAUGGCCCGCCUGGGCCGAAUGGCCCCCGAGGAGACAGGGGUGCAAUAGGACCUCCUGGGCCAGUUGGACCAGCAGGCAAAGGACUUGCAGGACCACCAGGACCUCCAGGCCCCAGCGGGCUUCCCGGUGCAACAGGAUCGCAAGGGCCACCUGUAAGUAUCCUUUUCUUUCCAUGGAUCCCAUAUCUUAUAUCUCAAAGAAAUAAAUCAGUUGACUCACACUUCCACGUCCUUCGCUAGAGAUGGUAGUGCUGUUUGAAACAGAUGCUCUCACCCAUACAGAAGCUGGAUCUCUAUAAAGAUGGGGGGGGGGAAAUCACAGAGAAUAUAUCAAACUACUUUUUCUGCCUGAAUGAUCUUUAUGGGCUCUUUGAAGCUACUGCUAGCCAGAGAAAAACGUGAAGAGAUAAAGGGGAUCUUUCCCCCAAGUAUCUUCUGGCGAGUGGCUGGGUUUUUUGAAGAACAAGGACAUGGAACAUGCUCUUCAAAAGCCCGGAUUUGGUCCUUGGGGUGACUUUCCAGCGGCCCAC
RNAcentral lists this long non-coding RNA (652 nucleotides) under Pogona vitticeps (central bearded dragon). RNAcentral describes it as "lncRNA (ENSPVIG00000005219.1)". Lineage: Eukaryota; Metazoa; Chordata; Lepidosauria; Squamata; Agamidae. The record is from RNAcentral.